This 69-nucleotide transfer RNA is filed under the name Cordylochernes scorpioides. RNAcentral's name for it is "tRNA-Gly". The record is from RNAcentral. Lineage: Eukaryota; Metazoa; Arthropoda; Arachnida; Pseudoscorpiones; Chernetidae.
UGCAUCUGCCGGGAAUCGAACCCGAGGCGCCCGCGUGGCAGGCGAGCAAUCUACCACUGAACCAAAAGC